UUUACAGUUGAAAUAUAUCACCGUGAUUAGGUUUGAUUUCCAAUUAUUUCAGCUGGUUUCAGAGUUCACCAAACAGGCACCGGAGUUGCUUUUCGCCUAUACAAUGACUAAAACACCCUUGGCGAGAGGGAUCCACCUCUCGUAAAUCACACCAACACGAAAGGACAAAGACGGAAGAGAAGCAGAAUGAAGCAGCUAUAAAAGCACAUAUGAAGCUAACUGAGGGUUUUGACGCUCUCCGGAAGAAGAAUGAGGCUUACCUGCGGCGGACGGGACGAUUUAUAUGUCGUCCCUCCCGUCGGAGCCAAUGAUUUCAGAGCGGUUUCUUAGCCGCCACCAAUACUUUUCUUUUCUUUUCUACUCUCCCUGUCUCUAUCUCUCUCUCUCUCUCUAUCUAUAUAUAUAUACACACACACACACACACACAUGCAUACAUAUGAGGCUAUGAUGAUGCGUUCUUUUCCGGGAGUGUCCGAUAGGGCAAAUGGUGAAGGUCACCGUAGCAUGGCGGGGUUACUCGGAUGGCCCGCGAAAAUAUUCUUUUCGCUGGCAACCGGUUGUUGCAGCCAUGGCGGUGCUGUUAUACCUUUCUCUUGCCCCGAUCAUAUUAUUCUGAUCAGAUCUGAGCCUCCCUAUUUUUUUCAGUUUUACCUAUCUCGAUCUGUUGCUUUUCUGUUACUCCUUGUUUGUCAAUGCUUCUUUUUUUUUUAAGAAAAAAUUGAAGGUGUUAGAAAUUUUAGAUAUCGUAUUUUUUUCCGUGAUCCUGUGAACGAGAAUAACCGCCGGUGGUUGUGGAGAAAUGGCUGUGGACAUCUUGCAAUGGGGAAGCUACAUUCUGGGAAUUUCUAGUCGAUAAAUUACGUUAAUUAAAAAGAAUUAAUGAAGAAAAUUACGAUUAACAAAUAGCUUAGAUAUAAUGAUUACGCUAACUGGGGUGGGUUUGGGUUCGGUUUAGAGGUUGGGUUCUCGAUUAAGUUGUAAAUCAAGUCUUUGGAUUUGUUUAAGGAGAAAUAAGGGGUAAAUUUUAUUCAUGUGAAAAUUAUUUGAACUUGCUCACAUUUCUUAAAAUUUUGGUGCAUUGUAAAACUACUAUAUUAAAAUUAAGGUGUAAAUUAUUUUUAAAUAUAUUGAAAUUUUUAUAAUAUAAUUAUGAAAAUAUUGAAUACAAUAAUUAUUAUUAAUUUACGUUAUAAAAAUAAAUUAAUAAAUAAUUCUUGCGGAAAAUAAUGGAGAAAUCCACAACGGGAGGAAAGAUAAAAAGGAAUAUUUAGGGGAAAAAAGAACAUUUUUCUCUUAUUUUAUUUGCGAUGAAAAAAAUCGAAAGGUAAAAACUUUUACUUUUUAUUUAAAAAGUGAAUGAAAAAAAUAGUAAAACUAUGUUUUAUUCUUAUAAUUAUUUAUUUCAAUUAUAAUUACUAUUCAACAGAGAUUUUGCGUCUUAAUAGAGAAUAAAAAAUUAUUAUUAUUAACUCACUUUUAUUUUCUUUCAUUCUGUAGAAUAAGUACUUUUUUUCUAAUAAAAAUGUCCAUAAACCAGUAAAAUAUAUUAAAUAAUUUUUUUAAUUUCUAAAUAGAUAAAAAAGCUGUUAAAGGAUAAAAAAGCUCUUUAAAUUUAAAAAUAAAAAAUAAUCAUUCAAUUUUUAAAAAUAUUAACUAUAACUUGCUUUUAAUUUUAAUCUAGGUAACUUAAGCACGAAAAAAAUUAUAGUACGUCAAGUGAUAUUUAACUUGCAACAUAAUAGUGGAUAUCUAUUAUAUUAUACAAUUGAUUAAUAAGUUGUUUUUUAUCAAAUGAUUCAAAAUGCAUCUUUAUAUAUUUAUUGCCUAAAUUAUUUGACAGUAUCAAUUUAAUUACUGUGUAAUGAGACUUAAUUCUGAUUAUUUUGUUAAAAAAUUGAAAGUUAAGUAUGCAAUGAAAGUUUCCAGCCAUAAAAAUAUGUUAAUUAUAUUAAUAUUAGAGUAAUAACUUAUUUUCUCUAAUCUUUAAUUUAAAAAGUUUUAUUUAAUUAUUUUUAAGAAUUUCUGGAAAUUUUUAUCUGCCUCAGUAGCUUAUUCAUAUAUUUUUAAAUUUUAAUCAUCUCAUGUUAUCUACUUAAGCGGAUGUAUUAUAAAAAAAUGAAUUAAAAAUAAAGAUUUCUUUUGAUUUAUUUUUAAUUUUUUUUUAAAAAAUUAUGUCUUAUUAGUUUAUUGGAUUUAUUUUUAAAAUUUAAAUAUCUUGUUUUAUCGACAUUUAAAUUUUAAUUUAAAAAAUAAAGAAUUUAUACAAAUAUUUACACACGGCUUAACAUCUAAACAGAGUUUGAGAGGAAGGGAAAGGGCUAAAGGGCACCGCCGCGUCAGCCAAACAGAGGCCAUAGUUUAGCACGCUCACUCCACGCAUGAGCUACACGCGUGAACUGAGGCCAGCGUUUGAUGUUUCCUCGGUUUGCUUUAUUUUACUGUUUUAUCUUUAACCCCUAUCAAGCCCAUUUCGAAAUCUAUUGACCAAAAUAACCUUAUGCUCGGCCGCCUCAAUGUCCUCCCACAGCCGGUGGACUUACAAGGGUAAUAUGGGAAUAAUGGAACUAGCACAUAACUUCUCACUAUAAAAGGGAAGAUAUUACAGCGAACAGAGAUUAAGCACUCAUUAGUUUAAAAAUGAGGCUUUGCUCUCGGAGAGGGGGAUGGGUUUUCUUGGAAGGGUGGUUGCAUCCCUCUCCAAAUGCUUGCGGAGCUGAUGAUUUCAUUGCCACUUGUGUAAAAUCAACCGCUCUAUCUCUCUGUGUAUUUAUUUAUUUAUCAUCUUCAUCACCAUUUGCUUCUUUCUUUCUCUUCUGCUUCUUUAUUUACGAAAUCGUAUUGGAAGAGGCUGUGAUGAUUUUUUCUAUCUGAGUGCAAAAUCAGACGUUAAAGAACGCUUUGACUGUUUGGCGGGGCGAUAUCGAGGUAUUUCUGUGGAGAAGGCUUCGCCUGACACCAUAGAGAUCUUCUUUGUUGUAGCCAUAGCCAUUGUUUUCUUUUUCUUGUCUGAUAGAAGGCGAAUCUGAGCCUCCACAUGCUUUUACCUAAAUUCUUUUGGUUUUACCGAGUUAGGUCUAAUUGUGAUUUUAAUUUUUUUUCUUUGUUCUUUCUUAUAUAUAUAUAUAUAUAUUAUUUAUUUAUUUAUUGAUUAAUUCAAUAUAGACAGUCAAUUGGGGAAAAUAAGGAUCCAUGAAUGUGUGAAUGUUUAAUUUUAUUUUUAAU
RNAcentral lists this long non-coding RNA (3222 nucleotides) under Manihot esculenta (cassava). RNAcentral describes it as "long non-coding RNA (MESC_LNC008433)". Lineage: Eukaryota; Viridiplantae; Streptophyta; Magnoliopsida; Malpighiales; Euphorbiaceae. The record is from RNAcentral.